RNAcentral lists this transfer RNA (55 nucleotides) under Cyclobacteriaceae bacterium. RNAcentral describes it as "tRNA-Pro". It matches the Rfam family "tRNA", at positions 9 to 64 of the family's 71-position model. Rfam says of the family: Transfer RNA (tRNA) molecules are approximately 80 nucleotides in length. Their secondary structure includes four short double-helical elements and three loops (D, anti-codon, and T loops). The record is from RNAcentral. Lineage: Bacteria; Pseudomonadati; Bacteroidota; Cytophagia; Cytophagales; Cyclobacteriaceae.
AGUUAAAUAAAACAGCCUGCUUUGGGAGCAGGGGGCCGCAGGUUCGAAUCCUGCC